CUUAUUCAUACAGUCUAUGGUCCUGAGUGCUGGAGACUGUCUCCUGAUGCAUUUUGGGGGCUAUGGCGAAUUAUCUUCCCUUAAGAAAGUAAAAUUGUGAUUUGCUUAAGCAGAAGCAUGGGUAAAUUCCAGUCCAAACUUGGUUCAAAGCGAAGGCAGAGUCCCGAAGGGGGUAGUUUGACAUCCAAUGUGCUGAACUGUCAACAGGAGCCAGAGCAAAUCCACAUCCACAAACUGACAGAGAACUUGUACUUAGAGUUAAGGGGGGGGAAGUCUGACAGUAGCAGAGACCGUAAAGGGGCUCUCCCACCAAAGAAAAGGUCUGAUAAAAGUCACAGCAUCCACCUCCAGGUUCAAAAACAGACAAAGAAGAGGGGCAGCCAUGCUGGUGCCACAGAGUGUAACAUGGAGCCAGAUGAGGACGCACAGCAGGAGUGGGUUUUCACACUGUACAACCAGGACAACAAAAAGGGUAAGUCAAGCCUUAUACGCUCCAUAUACGAGGUGUUAGAGGCAUCAGUCAAGCAGCCUUGCAAUGCAACCUUCCCCCUGAGGAUAAAACUAGUUAUGAUGCCGUCAACUCACACAGAGAAGACCUCACAAAGUGCAGCAGAGAAAAAGGAGAGUGUGUUUCAGGAAGCCCCAGUUAGAGGACUUUUUUGUGUGGAUGAAAACAAAGAGCGCAGAAACCACUACAUGGAUCUUGCUGGCAUUGAAAACUACGCCUCCAAAUUUGAAGACACAGAGUCUCCCUUUGUGACGUCAAAACAGAAAGCCCACUAUGCUCCUCGGCACUACCCUGUGGUGAUCAGUGAGAACUGCACCACCUCUGACUCUCCAAGGGGUGUCUCCAGCCCUGGUCUCUUGAGAAGCAAGACCAUGUCUGUUGGUAAAGAGAGAAAUGGAGGAGAGGGAAAGUCCCGCAGGUUUCACAGUCAACACUCUGCUUCAUGCUGCCAUCAUGUCUCACACUCUCAGCCUGCAGCACAGCGCACUCACAGCAAGAGGCUUCGCUCCAAGGUGCAGGAUGCUGCCUACAACCCUUAUUUCUCCUGUGAAGCCCUGAAACAUGAGCAUCAUCACCAGCAUGAGCAUCAUCAUCAUCAUCACCACCACCAUCAAUACAGACCUUCAUAAAUCCAUUCAAAUAAGAAGGUGACAGGCAUCACAAAGAGGUGUGAAUAGUGACCAUUUCCCCCAUGGCAUUCAAAUGUUGUUCCAACUUAUCUUGCUGGCGAAAGUUGCAAAUAGACGCCGUCCCUGCCAAAGGACAUGAGACAGCUGCUUCUAUAAAUAACCCCCAACCUCUUUUCUACCACGAGACCCCGAUGCCCCGCUACUGCCUCACUACAGCAAGCCUGGCAUUGACAAACACACACAAGGCUGCCACAGACAAACAGACAGAGGGAAACAACAAAUCAUCAAUCACAGAAGAGGCAUAGCACGGACACAGAGCUGCUAGACUGCAGCUCUGAUCAACAGCAAGACAACUUGCAGAGAAACAAGGGUUAAAUAUGAAGACGCUGCGGUUUCUUGCUGCUGAAGGCUUCGUCCAGAGUGGCCUGAGUGCUCUGGACAAUCUAAACUCUGUGUCUUUUAAUCUCUACCCACUGCUCUUCAAGGCAUGCUACCUCCACGAGCAGACAGACCUGCUGCAUGCUUUGGUGCAAGCAUGGCCUCUUCCUGAGCUCAACCUGCAAAGACUCCUGGGAAAAACAGCUGAUUGUCAGAUUGAUCUCACCUCCUGCACCUGCCGCAUUUGUCUGGUGGCGAUUCUGACUGGCUUAAAGGAUUAUGUGCUGUCUCCUCCAAGAACCUACGCAAAGAACCUUCAUGUAGUGGACCUGACUGCCCUGAAGGACAUUGAGCAUCAAACCUGCCCCUGCAAAGUAACCCUGGGUAGAUGGGGAAGAACCCAGCUCCUGACCCAGAUGUGUUAUGAGACCAUGGUGGCCAUGCAAGCCAAUGAUGUGUCUCUGUCUGCCUUUGAAACAUCCAUUGAUGUACGUCUGAAUGGCUUCGUCACAGGGCGCAACUACGAGCUGGUGGCUCAGGCCUUCCUACUGCUCCGCUACUGUCCACUGAAGCUUCACUUUAUUGGUUUUCGGGCCGACUCCCUCACACUGAAGCAGCUGUUUUAUGUUCUUCGCCUGUCAGAACCUGAGUCCAUAGUGAGACUGGAGGUUGUUCACAAUGUUCCUCUAGGGGCCAUUCAUUUAGACGUACUUCUGUCCAGGGUGGAGUUCCCUAAGUUACAGUCUUUGACACUGCCAGCUGGGGCGUUGGAUGUGAGGAGGCUUGGCGCUGAUGACGAAGAUCUGAUGAGCACUAUCGGCAAUCUGCUGGCACAACUAAGCCGCCUGACUGAGCUCUACAUUGGUUUCUCCACUCUUACUGGACACCUGCGCAGACUAUUGAAUCCUCUUAACACCCCACUACAGUGCUUGGACCUAGCUAACUGCUGCCUGAACCGUUUGGACAUGACGUACCUCUCCAACAGCCUCCACAGCGAGGCCCUGGUCUGCUUGGACCUGGGCGGACAUGACAUCUUCAACUCUUUCCCCACUUGUUUCCACAAACUGCUAAGCCGCUGCUCUGCCACACUGACCAGCAUGGCCCUUGAGGAAUGUAGCAUAGAGGACGAGCACAUGGAUGCCUUCAUCAACUCUCUGUCUUGCUGUCAAAUGCUGGAGGAACUGAAACUUCUGGGAAACCCUCUGACUUCUGCUGCUCUGCGGAGGUUGUUCUCCACAUUAUCUGUAGGCUUUCCUAAGAUAAAGUACAUAGAGGUACCAAUUCCCAGAGAUUGCUACCCUGAAAAUGUCACCUAUCCUCUUGAUGAUUCAGUUCUGCAGAGCUACAAUAAUGAGCUGUUCCGGGAGGUCAGGGACCAGCUCACAGGGAUCCUGGAGACGGCUGGAAGAGGUAGUGUGGAUGUGUGUACGCCACUCAUGGGGGCUUAUGAUCCAGACAUUAAUGAAACCAGCAACGAGCUGGGUGUGUCCAUGUUAAAAUCUUUUAACAGUGUCAUUGGGAACUUUAUUGGAACGAUAAGAGAGGUGGACUGCAGGAGAUCACAGGCUCAGAAAGAGAACUAAUGGAUCUUAGUUUAAAGAUAAAAUAUAAGAAAAUAUGUGAACAUGAUUGAGAUCUUUAACAUUGAUCGAGUGAUUUAUUUAAAGCAAGGGCAAAUGUUUAAGUAGGACAGAAAUGUCCAUGCUUUUUUAAAUUAUAAGUUAUUCCUGUAGACAAUUUCUUGCUUUUCCCAGCUGUUGUUUGGCUAUCUGUUAAAUAAAUGUAUUUUCUUAGAUGUUGUUCAGUGAGCUAGAAACUACCAUAAAUGCUUAAUGGAGUUCUUCAAGCCAAAACUAUGAAAAUAGAUCCAGUUAACCCUUAUUUUUUUCCCACUGGAUAACAUUACAGGUUGUGCAACCAGUGGCUCCUGUAUCCUGUAAGCAAAAAAUAUGUUCCGAUUGUAGCUAGAUUUAGCUACAAUAUUGGUUUUAAUAGAUACUUGAAGUUUGUACGUUUUUAUGUCUAUAUGGUGUUGUAUAUAACUGGAUUUCUAAACUCAUUUUUAAUAAAUUCCAGAUCUGAUUUUA
Notolabrus celidotus (New Zealand spotty) is the source of this 3602-nucleotide RNA transcript. It is a transcript of the gene named leucine rich repeat containing 14B, with no coding region annotated. The transcript has 12 exons. NCBI's taxonomy places the organism in Eukaryota, Metazoa, Chordata, Actinopteri, Labriformes, Labridae. The record is from RefSeq and is a predicted model, not a curated record.